CCCCCCCCCCCCCCCCCCCCCCCCCCCCCCCCCCCCCCCCCCCCCCCCCCCCCCCCCCCCCCCCCCCCCCCCCCCCCCCCCCCCCCCCCCCCGGGAAUGUGGGACAAGGAAAGCCCCUGCCGGGGGUGGGGGGUGGGUGCAUGGAGAAGGGGACGCAGCCCCUUGCGCACGGGUACAGCCGGGAGAGGAGCGAGGGCAGGGCUGACAGCACUGCACGGUGCGUGGCUGCUCUCCCCGCUGCCGCGGGAGGAUGAGGCCGUGCUUUUGCAGGGAGCUUGGGCUAUUGCGAAGCUUUGCCGUGUGUUGUAUUCCCUGUCCGGCUUCCUGAGCUCCAGCUCCAUCUCGCACCACUGCCAUGAGUUUUACCUCUUGUCUCUUCACCUUGGGCUCCCGGCCCGGCUUAUCACUGGAGAAAUCCCACCCGCUCUUUUUACUGCCACAGGGCUACAGAGGCAGCGAGGGUUGGAGCCAGAGCCCUGGUGCAGGAUGCUCUGUUUGCCAGAGCUGUGGCUAGUUUUGCCCCAGAUUUAAAGCUCCACUGGCUUUCAGGGAAAGGCGGCGUGAGCCAGCCGCGGGCAGGGCAGUGCCGCCGCCCCGCUCCGGUGCACCGGCGUGAGCAGAAUCAGCCUCAUCUCAGAGUGGGGUCUGCGACCUCCCUACUUGUCUGCGGGGGUCUCUGCACACAGGAGACCCCUUUCCUCCUCAUGCCCGACCCUGGCAAAGUUUGGAGCAGGUAUGGCCACCCUGGGCACUCGAAUGGGUGCAAAGCCACAAGCCCAAGCCUGCUGCAGGAGCAGUGGCGUUGCCUCUCCCUGCUGCUCGCCCUUGGAACGGUCCUGCUGAGCCCUUGGUGUUCCUUAAGUGCUUUAUUCCUUCCCACAGAGGACGAACACCUCAUCACUCCCAACUCUGUGAGCCAGCAGCCAUGUGCUCCUCACAGCUGGAUCUUCUCGCCAGCAUGCCCGGAGCCUUCCCGCCCGGGCAAAGGGACAGCGCAGCCCCCGGAGGCUGUGGAGCUCUCCCCAUCUCCUGCACGGCAGGAGGAGGGCCUGGGGCAUUGGCUGCUGGGGAGCCCAGAGGAAGCCGCCUUUCCCUGGGGAUCCUGGCAGGGGUUCCAGAACCGCUCCCAGGGCUGGUCGGGGAGCCCAACAUCCAUCUCAAAGGGGAACAAGGCUGGAGAUGAGUGGUCUGAACCUGCAUGA
This 1202-nucleotide long non-coding RNA is filed under the name Ficedula albicollis (Collared flycatcher). RNAcentral describes it as "lncRNA (ENSFALG00000024226.1)". The record is from RNAcentral. Lineage: Eukaryota; Metazoa; Chordata; Aves; Passeriformes; Muscicapidae.